GUGCUCGCUUCGGCAGCACAUAUACUAAAAUUGGAACGGGACAGAGAAGAUUAGCUUGGCCCCUGCAAGGAUGACACGCAAAUUCGUGAAACAUUCCAUUUGUUU
RNAcentral lists this small nuclear RNA (105 nucleotides) under Propithecus coquereli (Coquerel's sifaka). Lineage: Eukaryota; Metazoa; Chordata; Mammalia; Primates; Indriidae. The record is from RNAcentral.